RNAcentral lists this ribosomal RNA (253 nucleotides) under uncultured bacterium. RNAcentral's name for it is "partial 16S ribosomal RNA". It matches the Rfam family "Bacterial small subunit ribosomal RNA", at positions 524 to 776 of the family's 1533-position model. The record is from RNAcentral.
UACGUAGGGGGCAAGCGUUGUCCGGAAUCAUUGGGCGUAAAGCGCGUGUAGGCGGCUCGGUAAGUCUGCUGUGAAAGUCCAGGGCUCAACCCUGGGAUGCCGGUGGAUACUGUCGAGCUCGAGUCCGGAAGAGGCGAGUGGAAUUCCUGGUGUAGCGGUGAAAUGCGCAGAUAUCAGGAGGAACACCAAUGGCGAAGGCAGCUCGCUGGGACGUGACUGACGCUGAGGAGCGAAAGCAUGGGGAGCGAACAGG